UCGUUUGAGAUGGUAUGGCCGUGUUCAAUAGAGGACAUCAGAUGCACCAGUAAGGUGAAGUGAUCUGAUCCAAAUAGAAGGAUGUUCAACCUGCCAAUGAUUACAAAAUUUAGAUGGUCGAUGAUGAAUGAGCCACCAACGUGGGAACAUAGAAAAUCAAUUUAAUGCAGUGUGUGCAUGGUAAACGAUGAUACUACACAUGAUGCAGUAACACUUGUGUUGGCUUGAACCAGAUUGGAGGCCCAGUUAUAGAACUGGGUCCAAGUUUGGGUUUUGGGACCAGUAGAACAUUUAGGCUUUAAUUUGGGAAUAAUAGUGUAAUCUUUUUAUUUUGGGGGAGAUAGCUAUGUAGUUGUUUCAAGCUUUCCUAUAUUUUGUUUUAAUUCCUAGAUUGAAUUAGUUUCCAUUUUUGAUGAAGUCUUUCUUAUUAAUAUAGAUAUAAUAAACACAAUUUGUAGUUGAUUGAAUAUGGAAUAUUGAGUGUCGUUGAGUGUGCCUGUGUUUCUGUGCCUCCCCUCUUAUCUCUUCCCUGCGUUUCAGAACUUCCUAUCGCCAGGUUGUUCUUCAUCCCAACUUCUUUCCUUGUUUCUCCUUCGUCUUUGCUUUUAAUAUUUUUUUAGUAUUGCUACCCUGUCCUGGCAUGACCUUGGGUCCAGCAAAGAGUGCAUCAAUCUCUCUCGAUUCUUCACUAAUGAGAUUCAAAACCCUGGGGUUUGAAUCAUACCCUCAAGGUGGUCCUACAUGGAAUUACCUGCUGGAUAUCAAACUAGAAUCAAGAUUUAUACACUGAAACUCUCGCCUGGAAUAGUUUCAGGAGUAUCUUUUAUUUAUUUAUACUUUCAGAUAUCUGAUUGAUCUGCCUGUUAGUUGAGUUUGAGAAAGUUUUGUGUUACCUACCUAACUCCAAAGUUCCCAAUUGAUUGGGUUGCAGUGCUUGAGUUCCAUUGAUCACACUUGAGAAGGGUUGCCGCUGGUUCUUUCUCUACCAUUUAACCCCACUCGCAGAAACUUUUUUCUGCUCUCAUCUCCAACCUCUGGUCCUCUUAUUGGCUGAAAUCAAUGGAUCUUAGGGUUAGCUAUCAAUCCUUAAACCUUCAACUUGUUUGGAGUUGUGUGUGAAGAGGAGUAUUCAUCGCAAGCUGAUGCAGUUCAAGGAAGCAGACUACUGUUCACGUGUUACUGUUCACAUGAUACUAUUCAUGUGGUACUGGUCACAUGAACAGUGAUACUGUUCAUAAAUGGCCAUCAUUGUAUGCUUCAGUUUUAGGAAUAUGGACAGCUGGCAUUCUUAAGAGAUGCUGCCAAAAUUCUCUAGGAUAUUAUAUCUUAGUUUCUAUUUUCAGUGGUUACUAUUUUCUUGUAUUGCUAUUGAAUAAUUAGCUAGAGUUUCUAUUUUGAUGUUAGUUACUAUUUUUUAGUUAGCUUGGCAGCAAAGUAUUGUCCCCUCGUUAUUGGGAAUUGUUAAUUUUGUAAUGAUGAUUUGAAGAUUAUAAAUAAAGAGGAUGGACUCCUUCUGCCCACUAUUUUGGUUGAGGCAAAUGCUUUUUGAGUAUGGUGAGCUGUGGUGAAUCAGCCACGUCCAUUGGUGGUGAAACCAUGGGGGGAGGGUAGUGAUGCCCAACCACAAGCGUAGGUGGUGAUACCUACGGUCAUAUCCCUUUUCUCUUUUUCCAUUAAAGCAUCUGUCGAUCUUUGAUGGGACCCUUGGAGGUGAUCUCAUAUUCUGCCAGUGGUUUAAACUUGCUUUUAUUCUGUUAUUACUGUGGUCACAAUCCCCUUUGUUAACCCUUUCUAAUCUGUCAGAUUUACUCUUAGUUUUAGCACCCUACGAUUUCUAGCGAAGGCCAUAUUCUGUCUCAGAUUUCAGUCCUGUUUUCUAGAUAUCCAACCGUCAGAUGAGCCUCCUGUUUUGAGGGCUUAUUAUUCCAUAUAGCACUUUCCUUCAACCUAACUUUGAGUCCCAUCAAUUUUUGGAUAUGGAGUUAUUCAUCUAUGUUCUGUCUCUUACUUUCUAAUUCUGUUCUAAUGAGUUUUCUGCAGAUCAGUCCGUUGAAUCAGCCCCAUCUGUGGAGCAUAUAACCAGGAGGAUUCUCACUCCAUUUUACCUGGUUUCAAGCCACACCUGAGUGCCGGUUAUCAAGUUAUUAGAAUUUGUAUAUUAUGUUCUGUUUACGCUACUGUUCUGGUCACUGUGAUUCUGUCCUGUGGUUUUGUUGUCGAUUAAUCUGUCCUACAGGUUAGCGUACUCCAUCACAAGCCUGCCUCCACUGCUGGUUCAGAAUUGGGAGAUGAAGGGCAAAGGGACUAUUUCAUCUUGCAGUCCAUGGUUGAGAUGUUAUCAAAGCCCAAUGAGAUCAUCAUCAGUCUGAGGAUGAUUCCCUUGUCCAAUUCUCCAUUUUACAAUAUUGUGAUGGUGCUUAUUGUGAGGUGUUUGAUUCUUCCAAGUGCAUUAUCAAAGCUGGUCACCAAUGGUUAGAAGCACGAAAGUGUGUAGUUGAUCGUGAUAGCAACAUGUGCUUCCUAAAGCCUAUACAUCUACAUCAUACAUUUAUUUUAAAAGGGCUGGUUGAUCAAGUAUGCUCGGAGCCCUAGGAUGUGGCACCAACAAUGCAACCAUAGGAAGAGCCGGAGGGCUCAACCCAAGAGGAAGACUGCUUUGAUGUGGGACAAUAAUUAAUGGUAAAGGGAGACAAGAUGGUUAUUGUGGGUGAGGCGAUUACAAACUUUACUGCAACAACAGGUGUUCAUAUUGAGUUUGUUAUUACCCACAUAUUUUAAGUCGGAUGCAACAUCGAAGCUCCAUAUUUUGGAUUCAGUUCAAGUUGCAAGCAAGGAGUAGCAAGCUCCCGUUAGAGUGUUUUUAUUUCUGCCAUUCCACCAAACUUGAGGAACAAUUUUUCUCAACACUGGGGGAAUUUAUGCAGUGAUGCUUGCGUGGGCCAGCUCAAAACCUAUUGGAGGCCAAACAAAGAACUGGGUCGAAGUUGGGUUUUGGGUCCAGUAGAAUAUGUAGGCUUUAAUUUAGGAAUUAUAUUGUAAUAUUUCUAUCUUUUGGAAGAAAGCUAUGUAGUUGUUUUUGGUUUCCUAUUUUAUUACUACCUAGAUUGAGUUAGUUUCCAUUUUUUGUUGAAGUCUUUCUUCUUUAUAUAGAUGUAACCAAUGCAAUUAAUAGUUGAUUGAAUAUGGAAUA
Macadamia integrifolia is the source of this 3190-nucleotide long non-coding RNA. RefSeq lists it as uncharacterized. The record is from RefSeq and is a predicted model, not a curated record. Lineage: Eukaryota; Viridiplantae; Streptophyta; Magnoliopsida; Proteales; Proteaceae. The transcript is spliced from 2 exons.